CGCGCUGACUGCAGUAGUAAUGCUACUUGCUCAUAAAAAGUUGAUCUAAAAAGUCUGUAUAAGCCAGAGUAGUUUAAGUUUACAACUACAGUCACAUUCACAAGUGAGCUAUUACCAGAACAGAUUCUUGAAAUAGGAAGUUAUAGGAUAAACCAAUUCAUAACCAAAAUACUGAUGAGCUUUAAGAGCAAAUCCAUCUGAAUCUAAACAACUAAAUACCAAAACAAAAACAAAGGGUAGAAGAAUUAAAUGUAAGCUCGGGGAGGGUUCCAAAUAUACAUACGAAUUCAAUACAGUAAUUGCACAAAAAGAAAGAGGGUAGUGUUAGAGGUUUAUGAUGGCUGAGGUUGGAUUUUACAUGCUUCACACAUGGGUGUUAAAAGAAACCUUUAAUGAUACACAUCAGGUAUUUAGCCAGAAGACCGAGUGCAGAACUAUUCUACAGAACUACACAAGAUGUGCAAACCACAGAUUAUUAAUACAUCAAUCAUUCUGUGAGAGUUAAGGUGAACAGAACUGGUUCCUGGUUAACAUUGUCGUAUAUAUGCUUUUUUUUCUGCCAUUCCCAGGUUACUGCAGAUCACACGCAUUCAAUGGAUAAACUGGUAUCACCCUUCUAAAAAAAAAAACUUACUCAAACUUAAGUUCUACGUGAGACAACUAAAAAUAGAUAUACCAAGGAUCAAAGAAAGCUGAAAUGGUGACUGUCUUUUUGAAAUACAAGCAAUACACAGAAAAUGCAUAAGGCUUUUGAUUAUCACUGCACAUUUUAAUUUAAGAAGUCGACACCUAAAGCUCAGACUUCUCAAUGAAGGUGAGAACUGGUCACCGCCCAUCCAACACCUCUCACUGCUGACAGAUCUUUGUUUCAACAACGAAAGAGUUUUCAAAGUGUCUGAUCGAAUGGCAGUUCUCCACUGAACGCUUCUGCAGACCCAUUAUUUGGUCUCUGCGCUGAAGUUUGAAGGUCUCUUUUCCAACACAGAGCUGGUAAAUGAAGAUUCCCAGAUCAGAUACAUUAUCUAUCUCCUCUGUAACCACCAUUUCCUCACGCACCAGGUAAGUCUGAGGCAAGUAGGAACCAGUCGCCAGUUUUGCAAAGAGAUCCAUCAGAUUUCUUGGUGGCAUAACUAUGGAUGUGUUCAGUGGAAUCACGUAGCAUUUACCCAGUUGCAGGUCAAGAUAUGCUGUCAAAAGCCUGUCAAAGUCAUGAACAAUCGCAGCUGGAUCACUGUCAGAGAACUUUGGAACGGGCACAUCAAUGAUGGCAAUGUUAUCAUCCUCCCGAAUGUCAGCUUCUUCAGCAAUAGGGAGGAAAUAAGGUUCGACAGCACGAUCCCGAUUCUCAUUCUCAAAGUAACACAUUUCACCACGGUACACCUUGUGCUUCGGCAUGAAGUACUUGUAGAUGCAGGCUCCACCAACAACAACUCCUGCCAAGAUGAAAGCUAAACCCAGUAGGGUCAACAGGCAUCUUCCAGAUGAGUUCUCACCUCCCUGCGUGGCAACUUCGGGAUCCUUGUCGGCCACCAGAGCCUCGCUCGCCUCCUUCUUGGGCUCGCCCUUCUGGGCGAAGGGGGAGCUGAAGGCGAUCUUCACCAUGGCGCCGACGCCGCGCUCCGCUUCGCAGCCUCCGGCCGAAGGAGCGGGGCCAGCU
This 1657-nucleotide long non-coding RNA is filed under the name Gallus gallus (chicken). Lineage: Eukaryota; Metazoa; Chordata; Aves; Galliformes; Phasianidae. The record is from RNAcentral.